This 290-nucleotide ribosomal RNA is filed under the name Ammoniphilus sp. CFH 90114. RNAcentral's name for it is "partial 16S ribosomal RNA". It matches the Rfam family "Bacterial small subunit ribosomal RNA", at positions 407 to 689 of the family's 1533-position model. The record is from RNAcentral. Lineage: Bacteria; Bacillati; Bacillota; Bacilli; Caryophanales; Paenibacillaceae.
GAAGAAGGGUUUCGGCUCGUAAAACUCUGUUGUUAAAGAAGAACACCUUUGAGAGUAACUGUUCAAGGGUUGACGGUAUUUAACCAGAAAGCCACGGCUAACUACGUGCCAGCAGCCGCGGUAAUACGUAGGUGGCAAGCGUUGUCCGGAUUUAUUGGGCGUAAAGCGAGCGCAGGCGGUUUUUUAAGUCUGAUGUGAAAGCCUUCGGCUUAACCGGAGAAGUGCAUCGGAAACUGGGAGACUUGAGUGCAGAAGAGGACAGUGGAACUCCAUGUGUAGCGGUGGAAUGC